RNAcentral lists this ribosomal RNA (326 nucleotides) under uncultured eukaryote. RNAcentral's name for it is "partial 18S ribosomal RNA". It matches the Rfam family "Eukaryotic small subunit ribosomal RNA", at positions 1470 to 1796 of the family's 1831-position model. The record is from RNAcentral.
CCCUUAGAUGUUCUGGGCCGCACGCGCGCUACACUGAAGGGAUCAGCGUGUUUUCCCUUCCCGAGGGGGACGGGUAACCCGCUGAACCCCCUUCGUGGUAGGGAUCGGAGCUUGCAAUUGUUCUCCGUGAACCAGGAAUUCCCAGUAAGCGCAAGUCAUAAGCUUGCGUUGAUUACGUCCCUGCCCUUUGUACACACCGCCCGUCGCUACUACCGAUUGAACGUUUUAGUGAGGUAUUUGGACUGGGCCUUGGGAGGUUUCGGCCUCCCUUGUUGCUCGGAAAGACUCCCAAACUUGAGCGUUUAGAGGAAGUAAAAGUCGUAACA